This 394-nucleotide ribosomal RNA is filed under the name uncultured bacterium. RNAcentral's name for it is "bacterial SSU rRNA". It matches the Rfam family "Bacterial small subunit ribosomal RNA", at positions 28 to 430 of the family's 1533-position model. The record is from RNAcentral.
GACGAACGCUGGCGGCGUGCUUAACACAUGCAAGUCGAACGAUGAAGCCCUUCGGGGUGGAUUAGUGGCGAACGGGUGAGUAACACGUGGGCAAUCUGCCCUUCACUCUGGGACAAGCCCUGGAAACGGGGUCUAAUACCGGAUAUGACACACGGCCGCAUGGUCUGUGUGUGGAAAGCUCCGGCGGUGAAGGAUGAGCCCGCGGCCUAUCAGCUUGUUGGUGGGGUGAGGCCUACCAAGGCGACGACGGGUAGCCGGCCUGAGAGGGCGACCGGCCACACUGGGACUGAGACACGGCCCAGACUCCUACGGGAGGCAGCAGUGGGGAAUAUUGCACAAUGGGCGAAAGCCUGAUGCAGCGACGCCGCGUGAGGGAUGACGGCCUGGUGUAACU